CAUUCAGUAGCCUAGCUACUUGUUUAUACCCUUGUUUUUUUGCGUACCUAUUGUUUCCUCGGUGGGCUUGCCUGCCGGUUGGACAAAACUAUAACCUUUUUAAAUCUUCAAUCAGCGUCUGAAUUACACAUAAUAAUUA
This 139-nucleotide unclassified non-coding RNA is filed under the name soil metagenome. RNAcentral's name for it is "partial internal transcribed spacer 1". The record is from RNAcentral.